This is a non-coding RNA of Vicugna pacos (alpaca), 536 nucleotides long. NCBI's taxonomy places the organism in Eukaryota, Metazoa, Chordata, Mammalia, Artiodactyla, Camelidae. The record is from RefSeq and is a predicted model, not a curated record.
UGAGCGUGUUGUGUGCAACUUCAAAGGCACAAGCUUAAAGGAAGCCCUCCUCUGUGGUAGACAGAUUAAUGCCCCCUCCAAAGGCAUCUACAGCCCAAUCUCUAUAACCUGCUGAGUAUAUUCUAUUACGUGGCAAAGAGCAAUGGGGGUUACAGGUGGGAUUAAGGUACCAAUCUAGAAAUCAGCUGACCUUGACAGGCCAAUGAGCCUGGAUUACCCAGGUGGGCCCAAUGGAACCACGAACGCUCAUAAACAUGGAAGGAGGCAGCGAAAGGGAGAGACGCCAGCGGGAGGAGCUCCGGUGCGGGUGUUGGCGGCUUUGAAGCUGGAGGAGCAGGACCCUGAAGCAAAGCAGUCAUUUGGGCCAGAAUACGGUGAGCGAGACGUAACCAUGGAGAUGAGGAUAACGCUGCUGAAGUAACAGGACCAGUCAGGGUUCCAGCAGGAGACAAGGACAUAUGAGACUGUUCAGUAAAGACCGUCCGUGCUGCUGUGAACAUUGGGGUGCAUGUAUCUUUUCUAAUUAGAGUUUCCUC